GGGUUGUGAGGUUAAGCGACUAAGCGUACACGGUGGAUGCCCUGGCAGUCAGAGGCGAUGAAGGACGUGCUAAUCUGCGAUAAGCGUCGGUGAGGUGAUAUGAACCGUUAUAACCGGCGAUUUCCGAAUGGGGAAACCCAGUGUGUUUCGACACACUAUCAUUAACUGAAUCCAUAGGUUAAUGAGGCGAACCGGGGGAACUGAAACAUCUAAGUA
This 216-nucleotide ribosomal RNA is filed under the name Escherichia coli. RNAcentral's name for it is "partial 23S ribosomal RNA". It matches the Rfam family "Bacterial large subunit ribosomal RNA", at positions 1 to 208 of the family's 2925-position model. The record is from RNAcentral. Lineage: Bacteria; Pseudomonadati; Pseudomonadota; Gammaproteobacteria; Enterobacterales; Enterobacteriaceae.